This 426-nucleotide ribosomal RNA is filed under the name uncultured prokaryote. Its description in RNAcentral is "bacterial SSU rRNA". It matches the Rfam family "Bacterial small subunit ribosomal RNA", at positions 355 to 774 of the family's 1533-position model. The record is from RNAcentral.
CUAAGAAUCUUCCGCAAUGGGCGAAAGCCUGACGGAGCGACGCCGCGUGGACGAUGAAGGCCGAAAGGAUGUAAAGUCCUUUUCUCUGCGAAGAAUAAGUGGGGGAGGAAAUGCCCCUAUGAUGACGUUAGCAGAGGAAUAAGCCCCGGCUAAUUACGUGCCAGCAGCCGCGGUAAUACGUAAGGGGCGAGCGUUGUUCGGAAUUAUUGGGUGUAAAGGGUGCGUAGGCGGUUUGACAAGUCUGUGUUGAAGGCAACGGCUUAACCGUUGUUUGGCGCUGGAAACUGUUAGACUUGAGUUUAGGAGGGGGAGCUGGAAUUCCAGGUGUAGGGGUGAAAUCUGUAGAUAUCUGGAAGAACACCGGUGGCGAAGGCGAGCUCCUGGCCAUAGACUGACGCUGAGGCACGAAAGCGUGGGGAGCGAACA